UAGCAGUAGGGAAUCUUCGGCAAUGGGGGCAACCCUGACCGAGCAACGCCGCGUGAGUGAAGAAGGUUUUCGGAUCGUAAAGCUCUGUUGUAAGAGAAGAACGUGUGUGAGAGUGGAAAGUUCACACAGUGACGGUAACUUACCAGAAAGGGACGGCUAACUACGUGCCAGCAGCCGCGGUAAUACGUAGGUCCCGAGCGUUGUCCGGAUUUAUUGGGCGUAAAGCGAGCGCAGGCGGUUUAAUAAGUCUGAAGUUAAAGGCAGUGGCUUAACCAUUGUUCGCUUUGGAAACUGUUAGACUUGAGUGCAGAAGGGGAGAGUGGAAUUCCAUGUGUAGCGGUG
This 342-nucleotide ribosomal RNA is filed under the name uncultured Streptococcus sp. RNAcentral describes it as "bacterial SSU rRNA". It matches the Rfam family "Bacterial small subunit ribosomal RNA", at positions 349 to 683 of the family's 1533-position model. The record is from RNAcentral. Lineage: Bacteria; Bacillati; Bacillota; Bacilli; Lactobacillales; Streptococcaceae.